Molecule: long non-coding RNA, 581 nt
Organism: Carya illinoinensis
Lineage: Eukaryota; Viridiplantae; Streptophyta; Magnoliopsida; Fagales; Juglandaceae
Exons: 4
Source: RefSeq, a predicted model, not a curated record
AGGAAUCAAAAUCCAAAGAUGAAUCUUUAAGGAAGCUAGAAGAUAACUUACAUAACCUUGAGAGCAAGGCAGAAGGCAGAGAUUAGAGUCUCAUAGAAAUCUACAUGAGAAGAUAAAAAAAUUGAAGGCCAGAUUGAGUUGAAUGCAGUCAUCCACAACCAAUAUGAGAAGCAACUUUGGGAAUUAUCUGAGAGAUUGAAGGGGAGGGAAGAAGUCUGCAGUAAAAUCUUCAGCAAAAGGUCAAAGAGUUAAAGACCAAGCUCAUAGAAUAACAACACUUAGAAUCUGCAUAUUUUCAACAGAAGGAGGAAGUACUUUUGGAGCAACUUAAGAAGUCUAGAUUACAGGGUACACUUCGACCAACUAAGCAAGGAGAAAUGGUACUGGAAAAGUUUGGGCUACCACAGACAGGCUGACAGUGGUCAGACAGUUGGAGAUAUAUACAAUAGCUGUUUUGCUUGCAACCCUAUGUCCUCCACACCCGCCUUGAGAAGAACAAUGCAGAAAUCUCAUUGAGGAGAUCUCAAAAAUCAACUGUCAAAAUUAUCGAAGCGUUGUCUAUGAAUUAAACUUUCAAACUA